Molecule: non-coding RNA, 413 nt
Filed under: Klebsiella grimontii
Lineage: Bacteria; Pseudomonadati; Pseudomonadota; Gammaproteobacteria; Enterobacterales; Enterobacteriaceae
Source: RNAcentral
UUCUGCAAUGUAGUAUCAAUAGGCUUGAUAAAUAAGCUGUUAUUGUUCAGCCGGACAUCACCCUUAGCGGUGGUCAUCUCGCCAUCCAGGGGGAUAUCAAGAUGUAAGCGAGCGCUCACAUCACCGUCCAACUGAAGCUCACCCAGCGCCGCCCCCAGCGUCUCUUUCAGCGGCGUCUCGUUAAAAUAAGGGCCAACUUCUUUACCCGGACCGUUAACAUCGGCAUCAAUUAAUAACUUUUCACGCGAAUAGUCGGGAAUUACCGCGUCGAGAUUGCUGGCGGUCACUUUGCCGAGCAUCGCCUUAUCGGCCUUCAUCCAUAGUCCAUCAUUGAUAAAGUUAAGGUCGAUAUUCAGGCCGGUUAGCGCAGGCCAGUCAGGCUGAAAGGCAAAGGUGGCGUUCUUGAGCGGCAC